Pezoporus occidentalis (night parrot) is the source of this 966-nucleotide long non-coding RNA. RefSeq lists it as uncharacterized. The transcript is spliced from 4 exons. The record is from RefSeq and is a predicted model, not a curated record. NCBI's taxonomy places the organism in Eukaryota, Metazoa, Chordata, Aves, Psittaciformes, Psittacidae.
CUAGAAUUGGUUGGCUGAGAAGCUUGAACAGUAGAGUUCACUGUUGCCCUCAGGCUGGAGACAUUUAAAUUCGCACUGUUAUCUCUCAGGGGAGAGCCUUGACUUAGAGUUAACAGCUAUUUGGGUCCAAGUAGGGCAUUCUUUUAAGGCACUUCUGGCAUCUAAACCAGCUCUGCUUCUAUCUUGUUGAAUCUAGGUCACUAUGCAACAAGCAAUGCAAUAUUUAAAAGGGGAACAACCAGCAGAGACGUCAUUGAGUUUAAAGUACCCAAGUGAAAGCAGCAACUCCUUGCUGGCAAGCCCUGACAGCAAGACCAAUUUCUGCAUUUUGCGUUAGAGAGUUCUUGAAGAAAAAUGGGAAAUAAUCCUGAAAUCAUGGUCUGGAAUCCAGAGGAUGCACAAUAUGGUUAUUGGAGGAGAGGCCAGGAAGAGAAAAAUAGUAGUGAGGCAAAUACCAUUGGAAGACACCUGGGCACAGACAGUGGAAGAAGUGAAAAGAGAUGCUUAACAAAGAUAAAUGUGGUUUAUCCUGAGGAAAGGAAUUCUAAAUGGCAAGAAAACAAUGAGACAACACAGGUUCAUCAACAAAUACCUGGAGGCAGCAGUUAAGAGAUUCAACAUGACUUACUUAUGAUGGUGACAGACUCAGAAGUAAGUCAGUACACCCUCUGUAAUAGCCCUAUUCAACCACAGUUCCACCUGUUCAAAAGUAAACCCUAGGCUGGGACAACUCUGACUGCAUUCACUAAUUCCUGUCAUCAAUAAGACGGUCCCCCCUUUUUGAGAGGCACACAGCCAAAAUAAUUGGAGCAAAUCUGUAGUCACAACCAUAAAUUUUAUCACCUCUUUCUUCCCAACCCCACCCAUGAAUUACAUAUCAAUAGAAUAUCUGUAAUAAACAUUCAUAUAUGUCUAGAUCCUCAGCUAAUGUGAAUUUGAUUCAGUAAAGCUAUUCUGAAUGGUGAA